RNAcentral lists this ribosomal RNA (301 nucleotides) under uncultured bacterium. RNAcentral describes it as "partial 16S ribosomal RNA". It matches the Rfam family "Bacterial small subunit ribosomal RNA", at positions 509 to 807 of the family's 1533-position model. The record is from RNAcentral.
CAGUCGCCGCGGUAAUACGAAGGGUGCAAGCGUUAAUCGGAAUUACUGGGCGUAAAGCGUGCGUAGGCUGUGAGUUAAGUCUGCUGUGAAAUCCCCGGGCUCAACCUGGGAAUGGCAAUGGAUACUGGCAAGCUAGAGUGUGUCAGAGGAUGGUGGAAUUCCCGGUGUAGCGGUGAAAUGCGUAGAGAUCGGGAGGAACAUCAGUGGCGAAGGCGGCCAUCUGGGACAACACUGACGCUGAGGCACGAAAGCGUGGGGAGCAAACAGGAUUAGAUACCCCUGUAGUCCCUGUCUCUUAUAC